UGCAAUUAUCUUGUAUAGUAUAGUACAACAAGCAAAUGGUUGAAAUUCCUUAACAGUAGUGGGGCUAACUGUUUUAGGAACCAGAGCAAUCAAGGUGCAGUUUACUGGUCUAUACAUCUUACCAAUAUUGAAGAACUCUUUGACAUCUGCAAUUAAGUCAUGUUUAAUGGUAUACCAGGUCUUCUUAUAGAAGUGAGCAUUGUAGCCAUCUAUGUCAGGAGCUUUAUCAUCUUUGAUACUUUUUAAUGCCUCUAUUAUCUCCUCACUUGUUACAUCUCUACUCAAUUCUAGCCCUUGAGCAUAGCUUAGAAUCUUCCCCUUUUUCAUAGUAAUUAAGUUGACUACUGGGAGAGUUUGAGAGGAAGUACCCAUCAGAUUUUUGUAAAACUCUACAAUCUCCUUUUGUAUAUCUUCAGUAGCAGAGAGUUUGUGGCCAGUCAAAGAGGUAAGCUCAAGGAUUUAUUUUUUGUAGGUUCUUUCUUUGAUCAUAGCUGAGAAAUAAUUAUUAUUAUUAGCAUCCCCAAGUCGAAUCCAUUGAGCCCUUGCUUUUUGUCUGAGAAUAUUUUCUUCAAUGCCUGACCAUUUUUCUAAGUUCUGCUUACACAUCUUCUCUUUAGCCAGUAACUCAUCUAUACAAUUUGUAGCAAUUUGGUCUUGAGUAGACUGUAGUUCCAAUAUGAUUAGUUCAAGCUUCUGAGCUAUAUUCUUAAACUCUACAGAGUUAAGAUUCUUCAGAUGAGGUCUUAGAUCUUUAAGUUUCUUCCAGAUUCUAGCCAUACUUCCUCCUUGAACUUGAGUGUUCCAACUUGUAAUUACUAUGUUUUGGAAGGAUGGAUGUUCAGCCCAAACAUUAAAAUAUGUAAAAGGAGAUUUGAUGCUUUGAUGAAUGCUAUGGAUAGUUAAAAUCAUAGGGGCAUGGUCAAAAACUUGAGGAAGUUCAUAUUGUGUCAUAACAUGUCCCCAUUUCAUUAUCCAUUCGUUAUUGUCAAACAUCCGAUCAAUUCAACUACAUAUUCUAUUAGUUCCCUACUGCUUAUUGGACCAAGUAUAAUACGCACCUUUCCAAGGUAUUUUACACAAGUGCAGGUUCUGAAUACAAUCCACCAGAUCUUUGGUUUCUACUGCUGUAACAAGAGCUCCCUAAAUUCUAUCUGAAGGCCAUAUAACAGCAUUAAAAUCUCAACCAAAGAUCCAGGGUUGAUUAAUCCCCUGUCCUACUUCCUUCGACUUUUUCCAUAAUCUUUUCCUAGUCUCCAAGGAAUUAAAACCAUACACCACAGCCAACAAGCAUAUGAACCCUCCAGCAGCAUCAUUAACUUGACAGUGAACCAUUUUAGCAUUAGACUGGAGAUAGUGGACUGUGUAUAUAGUAGUAUCCCAAUAGAUCCAUAUCCUGCCAUUUGUAGCAUGCUGAUAGUUGUUAAUAGAGCUCCACCCGAGACAAAUAUUUCUAGUAGCCUUAGCUAUAUUAUGUUGCUUAACUCUUGUUUCUACUAGACCAAUUAACUUUAUUUGUUUACCUCUAAUGAGCUUUUUGAGCUCUUUUUGCUUAUAGCUCUUAUUCACUCCUCUUAUGUUCCAAAUAAGGCAACUUAUUAUAAAGAUUUUGAGGGACCCCUUUAUCAAGAGGUUUCAAUAUUCUACUAUUCUCAAUCUGCUUUUUCUUGAUACUUAUCUUUGCAGGCACUGAUCUUACUGGGGGAAAUCACUCAGGUUAUAUGCAUAUGUAGGUUUAGAUAUAUCUCUGAUCGGAGGCAAGGGAGAAUUGGAUCUCUGUCUGUUAGGACUAUGCUGGGGUUGAAUAGAAGAAUUUUGAGGCGCAUGAUGUCUAGUACCACUGGAUUCUCCCACUUCAAGCACCUUUGUCACUUCUACUUCUUUACCCGUUGUGUUAUCCACCACUGUAGGGGCUUGUGCUAUUGUUAUCUUCCUUUUACAUGGACAUUCUUGCUCCAUCUUUUUGUAAGGCUCCUUUGGUUUACCUUGCUCCUUAGGGUUGGGUAGACAACUAUGACCAACUACUUUGCAAUAAGAGCAAAACGUAGGCUUCCAGUCGUAAAUAACUGAUUGUUUAAACUUUCUCCCAUUAGGCUCCAUUACUAGCACUUCAUUAGGCAAGUCCUUUGUAACAUUUACCUCAAUUAGCAUUUGAGCAACGGAUAUUCUAGUCUGCUUAGUUGUACACCCAUCCACAUAGACAGAAAUGUCAAUGACACUGGCUAUUCUACUUAGUGAAUCUCUUACCUAGUAGAACAUCGGAAGCUUGGGAAAUUUAACCCGCAGAGGUAUCUCUGUAGGAUAUUCUGUGUUGAAAUCAAAGUCCAUCGGCCAAGGCUUCAGAAUAAUGGGGGGUCUGUUAUUAACAGUAUAAGGUCCUGAAUAGAGCACCUCUUCCAUAUCUUCAAUAGAUGCAAAUCGAACGACAUAAUAUCCCUCCUCGUGAUGAUACUGCUCUGCGGCAACUACAUGGUCCAGUAUUGUCUAAUAUAUCUACUCAGUGCAUUAUAACUUGGGGUAUCCCCUACAAAAUAUGCUAUUAGAGCACAAUUCCAUUUAGCUGCUUCUUUAUCAACUUUCUAUUUCUCAAGUGGCACCACUGCUUGUUCCUCAAUUAGUUGGGGGGGGGACGCAAAUCGUAUGACAUAAUAUCCCUCCUCGUGGUAAUACAGUUCUGGGUCAGCCACAUUGGUCCAGUAUUGUCUAAUAUAUCUAUUUAGUGCAUUAUAUCCAGGUGUAUCUCCAACAAAAUAUGCUAUGAGAGCACAAUUCCAUUUAGCUGCUUCUUUAUCAACUUCCUCUUUCUGAAGUUGCACCACUGCUUGUCCUUCAAUUAGCUGGGGAGGGAUGUAUGAUAGUAAAAGUCCAUUUGCAGCAGCCCUAUUUUUUGUAAAUAAGCUCACCCAUGGAGCAACCGGUGUUUCAAUUUAUUCUUCUUGGAUUUACGCAGGGGCGGGAUUUGGGAUUUCUGCUUCAGUGAUUAUUCCUGGAUUCGAUCUAGACCCUUACUCCACUUGCACAAUAUUGGUCAAAUUAGGAUUAGAUUGAUUAGUACCUGACACUCCUUGACUAUGGGGGAGGGGGUUAAAAUCAGGCACUUUGAGAUUCCCCUCUGUCCUAGCUCAUCUUCCUCUGUCUAUAUCACUUCUCUGUCGGUUGUUCAAUCGGGUGUGACCAAAGGUGUUAUGUUGCGAGCUCCAUGUGACUCUCUAACAUUUGUUAUCAAAUUAAUUCUAGGUCUUCCUUAUCCUCUACCUCUUCCACGGUCGCGACCUUAUGUUCUAUCCAUGGCAGCCACCACCAGCGUACGUUAGACUAACGUGCGCCGAGAGCCAUCUAAUUUUGACUAACAUUAGACUAAUGCAGAAGAUCAUUGUAGUUACUAAGGUGCAUAAAUCAUGGGAUUUAUGCAUCAGAAAACAAAAGAAUUUGUUGUCCAAAAAUAUCAAGACGUAUUCCACGAAAAGAGAAAGAUUUGUUGCUCUAAAUAGAUUGAAGAAAAACUCGAAAAAAGAUAUUGUUAAGUAUCAAGAGACACAACAUUCUAGGAAAGAAGAAAGUUCUGUUGCAUUAAAUGAAUUGCUUAAAUCAAGGGAUUGUCACAUCUCUCUCUUCUAGGUAUAUAUUGUACUUAUUUAGAUUUUCCUAGUCUUUACUUGUUCUUCAUUUUCUUAAGAAGAAAAUCAUUUGGUUGCCUUCUAACUUCCAACGGCUAGUAGUAGUUCAAUCAUUACUAUAUAAGCAUUGAAAGUCAAAAGAAGAAAUAUACAUUUGUCUCAACCUUAUCUAGUUUUUUGCUCUACUUUACUCAAACAUUGUAUUCUCUUAAAAGUUUAUUGUGUACUCAAAAAGAGAGAAAGAAACACAUAGUUGGUGGGGCAUUGGAUCAAAGUGAGAAAGAAAGAAAGAGAGUGUGAGUUUAAGUUAAAAAGCUUGAUUUAAUCUUGUACUUUGAUUUUAUUGAAUCUCUUGCAAUCCAAGGGGACUGGAGUAAAACCUAUUAGAGAUCUCAAUUAAUAUAAAAUAUCUGGUGUUAUUUACCUUUAGGACUUUAUUUUUUGAAGUUUUUAUUACUUCAAUCAAUAGUCGGUUGUCUAUUGAAGGAAGACGAUUGUUUGGUCGAAAAAAGAGUAAUUCUCCCCCUCUCUUACUACUUUCGAUAUUGGGGGUUCGAACUCGAGGAAUAGAGAAAUUUUUAGUUAAGACAUUUGGAGCUUUCACUGCCUUCUGCUGGAAUUGUUAAAGAGGUUUUUUUUUUUUAAUGAUUCAUGAUUGUCUAGCGAUGUAUAUCUUUGGAGUAUAGAAUACAUUUUCUUUCUUCAUAUUUUAGUGGUAUACAGUAGUAAGAGAUACAUUAUAUCACAAUGCAUGUUGUAUACUAUUGAUAUAUGAGUAUACCUCUCUUCCAAUGUGAUGCCACCACGAUUAAAGCCUAUUUAUUCUUUUGUGAUGGAAUUCAAUAUGUUCUUAAUCCAUAUCUAUCAUAAUUUUUAGGUUAGCGAAUGCAUUUUUUCUAUUAUUUAAGUUUGGUGCAUAAGAAGAUUGUCCUCAAAAUUAUACAUCAAUAAUUAUGCCUCAAAUUCUGAAAGUCCUUAUGCAUUGCUUUGUAAUUUGAUUAGUUUUCAUUAUUUAUACCAAUAACUUUUUACCCUAUAUUAAAUAUUAAAUAUUAAAAGAGCCAUCAAAUAUAUGCUAAAAGGAAAAUAUAAGAAGAAUUAGUAUUGGUAGUUUUUUUUUCUUGUAUACGUGAAAAAGGAAUACUAAAAUAGAUUAUAAGAAAAAAGUUUUAAAAUAUUUUUAGAGAAGGACCGAAUGACCCAAGUUGGUAAAGACUGAAAAUGGUCGAAUGAUCCAAUGAGUGACAUUAGUUAGUUAGGCCGCCAUGACAUAAAAUGUCUAUAGGCCCAAACUUGGGUCAUUAGUUUUAAAAUAGGUCAGGCUAUGUCAUUUUUCCAAAAAGAAUCCUAAUUUUAUUUCUAAAAAAUUCACAAAGUGGCAACUUAAGUAUUACUUGUUAGUUAUUAUACAAAAUCUCAACUCUCAAAACAUAUUACAAAAAACCUACUUUUUCAAUUACUCUCUCUAAAAGUAUAUAUACAUAACUUUUCUAAUUUUGUACUGUUUGUUCUCCUUGAAAGAAGCCUAAAAUCAAGGAGUCAUUAUGUAAAGGUUACCAUUUUUUAAUUCAUUAUUAUGUUUGAUUCAAACUCUUACUCAAUUGCAUUCAAUUCUAACAAUAACAAAAACGCCAUUUUCAACAUUCUGUAAUUUUUAAGAUCUGAGCUUAGCUAAUUUUUUUUCGACUUUACCAAAAAAUCAUAGAUUUUGAUUGAAUAAUUUCUUGCAUGUUAUUCAUUUAAUAGAAUAAGUUCAAACUCUUGUCUUUUUCCAACUUUGAGUAAGAUUUUUUUUUUACUUUACCAAAAAUUAAAAUUCUAUAGAAUAAGUUCUUGCAUGUACUCCAUUCACUCAUUAUUACUUAGUAAAUGGGUGAUACUCCAUCUUUUAGUUUAGGAUUAACUUAGUUAAACCAUUGUGAACCAACAAAUCAUGUUAUUGGAUUCGUUCCCGGAGAACUUAGUUACGAGGCUCCUAAUUUUGUUGAAAACAGAUCGAAAUAUCGUAACGACCCUAUUAAGAUGAAGAAGCUCAGAAAAGCUACUGAUCGAAGUUCAAAAAAUCAAAUUCAACGGAUAUUAUUUGAUUUUUUAAUUUUUUGAUUUUUCAUCAAUGUGAGUUUUUUUAUUUUUUAUUUUUGAACAUGAUUGUUAAUUUUGCAGUAUUAUGUGGGUUUUUCAUACUUUUGAGGGUGCAUUAGUAGUUACAAGUGGAUAUACAUAUCAAUACUUAUGUAUAUGAUAGACAUAUACAUAAGUGUUGCUACGUCUUUGAAAUAUAAUGAUAUGAUUGUUUAUUGUACUUGGAUAUAAUAUUUUUUUCAUCAAUGUGAGGUUUUUUGAUUUUUUUAUUUUUGGAUAUGGUUGUUAGUUUUGCAUUAUUAUGAUGGGUCUUUUAUGAAUUUGAUGGUGCAUUAGUAGUUGCUAGUGUAUAUACAUAUCAGUACGUAUGUAUAUGGUAGACAUAUACAUAACUGAUGGUACGUAUUUGAAAUAUAAUGAUAUGUAUAGUUCAUAUACGUCACAGACUUGUGUAUUGUGUUUUUGUAUUUUCUGUAGGAAUUGUUUGGCUUAGUUAUAGCAAUAAACAUAUCAGAAGUUAUGUAUAUUUGUUACUGUUAUGUAUAUUCAAUAUGGACGUGACAGAAAGGUCUAUGGGAUUAAGUUGUUUUGGAGUAUGCUUUUACUGAUUUUCUUGGUGCAAUAUGCAUAUCAGUUUUUUUCAGUAAUGUGAGAUUUUUAUUUUAUUUUUUUUGAAUAUGAUUGUUAGUGUGGGCAGUGUUAUGUAUGUUUUUUCAUUGAUAUGACUGUGCUUUAGUAGUGGUUAGUCAACAUAACAUUAAAUGUGUAUGUAUAUUGUUUACUUGCAGGGACUGUGGAGUGUUUGUCCUGGGUAUGCAGAAUACCCAAGUGGAGAAAUUGUUGUGCCUUCAGUUAAUUUUGAAGCAGAAUAUCAUCGUAUGAGAUACGCGUCACUCCUUUGAAAUUACGAUUUACAAAAAGUGAAGAAAUAUUAUGUUAGUGACAAUAAUGACCCUGUAAGACCAAGGACAAAAUAUGUCUCCAUACUUGAUGAAAUAGGAAUAGUUAGUAUUGAAUAGUCUUAAAGAUACUUAUGGUGAAGAUUCUUUUUUUCUUUUUGUGGAUUUGUUAGGAUUCUGAAUUAUUAAACUAAUUUAGGUAUUUUGGAUAUACAAAGUUAUCGGAACAUAUUAACGUAUGUUUUUAAAUUAUUAGUUAAACUGUGUUUCUGUA
RNAcentral lists this long non-coding RNA (6869 nucleotides) under Capsicum annuum. RNAcentral describes it as "long non-coding RNA (CANN_LNC002971)". The record is from RNAcentral. Lineage: Eukaryota; Viridiplantae; Streptophyta; Magnoliopsida; Solanales; Solanaceae.